This 301-nucleotide ribosomal RNA is filed under the name uncultured bacterium. RNAcentral's name for it is "partial 16S ribosomal RNA". It matches the Rfam family "Bacterial small subunit ribosomal RNA", at positions 509 to 807 of the family's 1533-position model. The record is from RNAcentral.
CAGCAGCCGCGGUAAUACGUAGGGUGCGAGCGUUAAUCGGAAUUACUGGGCGUAAAGCGUGCGCAGGCGGUUAUAUAAGACAGAUGUGAAAUCCCCGGGCUCAACCUGGGACCUGCAUUUGUGACUGUAUAGCUAGAGUACGGUAGAGGGGGAUGGAAUUCCGCGUGUAGCAGUGAAAUGCGUAGAUAUGCGGAGGAACACCGAUGGCGAAGGCAAUCCCCUGGGCCUGUACUGACGCUCAUGCACGAAAGCGUGGGGAGCAAACAGGAUUAGAUACCCCGGUAGUCCCUGUCUCUUAUAC